CCUACGGGAGGCUGCAGUGAGGAAUAUUGGUCAAUGGCCGCAGGGCUGAACCAGCCAAGUCGCGUGAGGGAUGACGGUCCUAUGGAUUGUAAACCUCUUUUGUCAGGGAGCAAAGGGCGCCACGUGUGGCGCUUUGCGAGUACCUGAAGAAAAAGCAUCGGCUCACUCCGUGCCAGCCGCCGCGGUAAUACGGAGGUUGCGAGCGUUAUCCGGAUUUUUUGGGUUGAAAGGGGGCGCAGGCGGAAUGUCAAGUCAGCGGUAAAAUUUCGGGGCUCAACCCCGUCGUGCCGUUGAAACUGGCGUUCUUGAGUGAGCGAGAAGUAUGCGGAAUGCGUGGUGUAGCGGUGAAAUGCAUAGAUAUCACGCAGAACUCCGAUUGCGAAGGCAGCAUACCGGCGCUCAACUGACGCUCAUGCACGAAAGCGUGGGUAUCGAACAGGAUUAGAUACCCGUGUAGUC
Molecule: ribosomal RNA, 459 nt
Filed under: uncultured bacterium
Lineage: Bacteria
Description: partial 16S ribosomal RNA
Rfam family: Bacterial small subunit ribosomal RNA
Source: RNAcentral